This 105-nucleotide unclassified non-coding RNA is filed under the name uncultured fungus. Its description in RNAcentral is "sequence contains ITS1". The record is from RNAcentral. Lineage: Eukaryota; Fungi.
CUCGGGAUGAAGGAGCUUGGCGAGCGAGUUGACCUGAUCGAUAUCUAUACGAAUACGCUGGAAGGCGUGCGAGAGCGCAUCCUGGAGGAGGCCGUCCCGUGGCUA